UCAACUUUGGACGCAGUGCCUUUUAUUUUUUUUAUUAGUUUUUUUUCAAAUACGCGUUCUAAUUUAGAUCUGGAUCUGAGAUCUCUCACGCGAUCACACCAUUGUCUUCAACCUCCAGCCAUCGCCGCUCAUCGUCUUCCCCACACAGACACCGCUGCAGUCCUCCGCCUCACGCCCUCGCCUCACGCCCAGUUUCCGCUGCUCCUCGCCGCCAGACGCAGCCGCCAGUCGCCCCGCUCCUCGCCGCUACUGCUCGCCGGGAAGGUAUGACGCACCAUCCCGGAACCCUCGCCACCUUCCAGAGCCUCCCGUCGCCACCUCGUCGCUGCUCGCCGCUGGUCGCCAGAAUACUAAGAUCAUUGCAACUAACAUCAUACAAAUUGAAGUGUGAUAAGGAACCUCUAAAUUCUAGACUUGGGCCACCUGACUAUCAUCCGCAGACGCUUAAUUGCCCUAUAGAGACACUCAACCGAGAUUAUGUGCAAUCUGGUUACAGGGAAACAGUUGACGGGCUUAGGAAGCUAGAGAAAUUUCACUAUCACAGGUUCCGGCCUUUUCAAAGCCUGUCAUAAUUAAAUGUAAAGAGGCAAUCAGAAAAUGCCACAGAACAAUCAAUGAGUCUCGGGCUAAAAAACGGGAUUGCAAAGCCAUGUUAAGAAGGGGAGAAUGAGUCAAGAGAAGUUUGAAAAAACUCUCUCUCUACUAAAAGGUGCCCUUGACUAUGAAAGCUUUAGAGAUGUGGACAUGGUUAUUGAGGCUGUUAUUGAGGACAUAAACUUAAAGCAGAAAAUAUUUGCUGAUCUUGAAAAGUAUUGCCCUCCACAUUGCAUUCUUGGAAAGAGGGGAGUCUUUGAGGAUUAUGAAGAUAAAGCAGUGCAGAAGGAUGUUGGAGAUGAUAGUGUGUAUGAUGAGGAUGAAGAGGAUAAAAUUUGGGAAGAAUAGCAGGUGAGGAAGGGCCUGGGAAA
This is a long non-coding RNA of Ipomoea triloba (trilobed morning glory), 965 nucleotides long. RefSeq lists it as uncharacterized. The record is from RefSeq and is a predicted model, not a curated record. Lineage: Eukaryota; Viridiplantae; Streptophyta; Magnoliopsida; Solanales; Convolvulaceae. The transcript is spliced from 6 exons.